RNAcentral lists this ribosomal RNA (400 nucleotides) under uncultured bacterium. RNAcentral describes it as "bacterial SSU rRNA". It matches the Rfam family "Bacterial small subunit ribosomal RNA", at positions 355 to 748 of the family's 1533-position model. The record is from RNAcentral.
UCGAGAAUUUUUCACAAUGGGCGAAAGCCUGAUGGAGCGACGCCGCGUGGGGGAUGAAGGGCUUCGGCUCGUAAACCCCUGUCAUUCGAGAACAAACCCUACGAUUUAAUAGAUCGUGGGCUGAUAGUAUCGGAAGAGGAAGGGACGGCUAACUCUGUGCCAGCAGCCGCGGUAAUACAGAGGUCCCAAGCGUUGUUCGGAUUUACUGGGCGUAAAGGGUGCGUAGGCGGCGAGGAAAGUUUGAGGUGAAAUCUCCAGGCUUAACUUGGAAAAUGCCUUGAAGACUUCCUUGCUCGAGGGUCGUAGAGGAGACUGGAAUUCUCGGUGUAGCAGUGAAAUGCGUAGAUAUCGAGAGGAACACCAGUGGCGAAAGCGGGUCUCUGGACGACACCUGACGCUG